AGAGCGAACGCUGGCGGCAGGCUUAACACAUGCAAGUCGAGCGGAUGUAGCAAUACAUCAGCGGCAGACGGGAUAGUAACACGUGGGAACGCGCCCUUUGGUUCGGAAUAACUCAGGGAAACUUGAGCUAAUACCGGAUAAGCCCUUACGGGGAAAGAUUUAUCGCCAAAGGAACGGCCCGCGUCCGAUUAGCUAGUUGGUGAGGUAAUGGCUCACCAAGGCGACGAUCGGUAGCUGGUCUGAGAGGAUGACCAGCAUCACUGGGACUGAGACACGGCCCAGACUCCUACGGGAGGCAGCAGUGGGAAUAUUGGACAAUGGGCGCAAGCCUGAUCCAGCCAUGCCGCGUGGAUGAUGAAGGCCCUAGGGUUGUAAAGUCCGUUUUAACGGGAGAUAAUGACGGUACCCGUAGAAUAAGCCCGGCUAACUUCGUGCCAGCAGCCGC
This 445-nucleotide ribosomal RNA is filed under the name uncultured bacterium. RNAcentral describes it as "SSU rRNA". It matches the Rfam family "Bacterial small subunit ribosomal RNA", at positions 26 to 518 of the family's 1533-position model. The record is from RNAcentral.